UUAUCCAUGCCCUCCCGGCCAGUUAACCGCCCCAACAUUGCAACAAACAUUACACGGACAUUAUUUCACGUCUGCAUGGACAGACACAAAGACACGUGUGCAUGCUUCAGGAGCUGGAGGAGGGAGCUCGCAGGCUUGGUGCGGCUAUUCGCGAGUACAUGGAGCUGCAACAGGAUGAGCAACAGAAGGAGCAGGAACAGCAACAGCGACAGCAGUUUAGAAGCGGUGUGUAGAGCGGCAUGUGUGUAAACAGCAGGCAGCAGGUGCAGGUGUAGUCGUGGUACGCAUACCAAUAGAUGCAGAUACAAAAGGCGAGCUCCAUGGCGAGGACAAGGAGCGAUAAAACGGAUUGGUUACUGGUGGUGGUGAUGAGCUCGUUGCUGGUGGCUGCUGGAGGUGGCCUCUGUGUGAGGAGCUAUCAAGUCGCUUCGGUGGUGCGCACAGCAAAUUGCAAUUGUAGGUUGUGCACUUGUGCUACGCGAGGAAACGUGCGCGUGUGAGUUUAUUAUGUUAAUUCGUUAGGCGUUGAAGGUUAUACGUUUUGGGCCUGACAACUCGUAUGUCCUUUGUGUCGUAGCCAAUCAGGCAAAAAAAAUCAUGGUG
Molecule: long non-coding RNA, 603 nt
Filed under: Volvox carteri
Lineage: Eukaryota; Viridiplantae; Chlorophyta; Chlorophyceae; Chlamydomonadales; Volvocaceae
Description: long non-coding RNA (VCAR_LNC002907)
Source: RNAcentral